ACCAGAACACCACAAACCACAGAUAAGGCUAUCACAACAUGCCCACUGUUGCCUGAAACAUAUGUGUAUUGCAAUUCGUUUAGAAAAUAUGUGCAGUCUUGAGGGCGUCAGCUUGCGUAUGUUUC
Haliotis rubra (blacklip abalone) is the source of this 125-nucleotide long non-coding RNA. RefSeq lists it as uncharacterized. The record is from RefSeq and is a predicted model, not a curated record. NCBI's taxonomy places the organism in Eukaryota, Metazoa, Mollusca, Gastropoda, Lepetellida, Haliotidae. The transcript has 3 exons.